AAAUGAUGGUUUAACUCCUUCCCUUACUA
This 29-nucleotide transfer RNA is filed under the name Manacus manacus. RNAcentral describes it as "partial tRNA-Met". Lineage: Eukaryota; Metazoa; Chordata; Aves; Passeriformes; Pipridae. RNAcentral also lists the same sequence under 2 other names. The record is from RNAcentral.